This 670-nucleotide ribosomal RNA is filed under the name uncultured bacterium. RNAcentral's name for it is "bacterial SSU rRNA". It matches the Rfam family "Bacterial small subunit ribosomal RNA", at positions 56 to 715 of the family's 1533-position model. The record is from RNAcentral.
UGCAAGUCGAGGGGCAUCACAUGAAGUAGCAAUACGGAUGGUGGCGACCGGCGCACGGGUGAGUAACGCGUAUGCAAUCUACCUACAACAAGGGGAUAACCCGUUGAAAGACGGACUAAUACCCUAUAAUACAGGGGUCCCGCAUGGGAAUAUUUGUUAAAGAUUCAUCGGUUGUAGAUGAGCAUGCGUUCCAUUAGCUUGUUGGUGAGGUAACGGCCCACCAAGGCAACGAUGGAUAGGGGAACUGAGAGGUUUAUCCCCCACACUGGUACUGAGACACGGACCAGACUCCUACGGGAGGCAGCAGUGAGGAAUAUUGGUCAAUGGACGCAAGUCUGAACCAGCCACGUCGCGUGAAGGAAGACGGCCCUACGGGUUGUAAACUUCUUUUGUAAGGGAAUAAAGUGAGUCACGCGUGACUUUUUGCAUGUACCUUACGAAUAAGGAUCGGCUAACUCCGUGCCAGCAGCCGCGGUAAUACGGAGGAUCCGAGCGUUAUCCGGAUUUAUUGGGUUUAAAGGGUGCGCAGGCGGGAGAUUAAGUCGGCGGUGAAAUUUUGCAGCUCAACUGUAAAAGUGCCAUCGAUACUGGUUUUCUUGAGUGUAGAUGAAGUAGGCGGAAUUUGUGGUGUAGCGGUGAAAUGCAUAGAUAUCACGAGGAACUCCGAUUG